GACGAACGCUGGCGGCGUGCUUAACACAUGCAAGUCGAACGAUGAAGCCUUUCGGGGUGGAUUAGUGGCGAACGGGUGAGUAACACGUGGGCAAUCUGCCCUGUACUUUGGGAUAAGCCUUGGAAACGGGGUCUAAUACCGGAUAUCACUUACCUCCGCAUGGGGUUUGGUUGAAAGUUACUGGCGGUACAGGAUGAGCCCGCCGGCCUAUCAGCUUGUUGGUGGGGUAGGUGGCCUACCAAGGCGACGACGGGUAGCCGGCCUGAGAGGGUGACCGG
RNAcentral lists this ribosomal RNA (278 nucleotides) under uncultured bacterium. RNAcentral's name for it is "partial 16S ribosomal RNA". It matches the Rfam family "Bacterial small subunit ribosomal RNA", at positions 28 to 307 of the family's 1533-position model. The record is from RNAcentral.